This 253-nucleotide ribosomal RNA is filed under the name uncultured bacterium. Its description in RNAcentral is "partial 16S ribosomal RNA". It matches the Rfam family "Bacterial small subunit ribosomal RNA", at positions 524 to 776 of the family's 1533-position model. The record is from RNAcentral.
UACGUAGGGGGCUAGCGUUGUCCGGAAUCAUUGGGCGUAAAGCGCGUGUAGGCGGUCCGGUAAGUCCGCUGUGAAAGUCGGGGGCUCAACCCUCGAAUGCCGGUGGAUACUGUCGGGCUAGAGUGCGGAAGAGGCGAGUGGAAUUCCUGGUGUAGCGGUGAAAUGCGCAGAUAUCAGGAGGAACACCUAUUGCGAAGGCAGCUCGCUGGGACGUAACUAACGCUGAGACGCGAAAGCGUGGGGAGCAAACAGG